RNAcentral lists this small RNA (632 nucleotides) under Pan troglodytes (chimpanzee). Its description in RNAcentral is "retained intron". Lineage: Eukaryota; Metazoa; Chordata; Mammalia; Primates; Hominidae. The record is from RNAcentral.
AGAAGCGAGGCGCGCUGGGGCGACUGGAGCGGUUCACUCGCAGGCGGCGCCAUUUUGUGCUAGGAGCCUGAUAAAACCGGCCCGGUUCUGUGGAAAGUGGGCGGCGGAGCCAGGGUCCCUGGAAUGGCGGAGACUCUGUCAGGCCUAGGUGAUUCUGGAGCGGCGGGCGCGGCGGCUCUGAGCUCCGCCUCGUCAGAGACCGGGACGCGGCGCCUCAGCGACCUGCGAGUGAUCGAUCUGCGGGCGGAGCUGAGGAAACGGAAUGUGGACUCGAGCGGCAACAAGAGCGUUUUGAUGGAGCGGCUGAAGAAGGCAAUUGAAGAUGAAGGUGGUAAUCCUGACGAAAUUGAAAUUACCUCCGAGGGAAACAAGAAAACAUCAAAGAGGUCUAGCAAAGAUAGAGGACAAAGAAACUAUAAACAAUUUAGAUACUUCAUCAUCUGACUUCACUAUAUUACAGGAAAUUGAAGAGCCAUCCCUGGAGCCAGGUACUGUUAAAUGAAAAACUUACCAGCGGGGGUUUGGAACCAUUCUAGUUUUCCACCUUCUCUAAUUUGAAUUCUUUGAUUUUUAAAAGUUACCUUACUAUAGUAUACAUUGUUCUAAAGGUUUACAAUCCAAAACCUACCAGG